Molecule: ribosomal RNA, 195 nt
Filed under: uncultured bacterium
Lineage: Bacteria
Description: partial 16S ribosomal RNA
Rfam family: Bacterial small subunit ribosomal RNA
Source: RNAcentral
CCUACGGGAGGCAGCAGUGGGGUAAUAUUGGACAAUGGGCGAAAGCCUGAUCCAGCCAUGCCGCGUGUGUGAAGAAGGUCUUCGGAUUGUAAAGCACUUUAAGUUGGGAGGAAGGGCAGUAAGUUAAUACCUUGCUGUUUUGACGUUACCGACAGAAUAAGCACCGGCUAACUUCGUGCCAGCAGCCGCGGUAAU